This is a small nucleolar RNA of Acomys russatus (golden spiny mouse), 132 nucleotides long. RefSeq annotates it as small nucleolar RNA SNORA17. The transcript has a single exon. The record is from RefSeq and is a predicted model, not a curated record. NCBI's taxonomy places the organism in Eukaryota, Metazoa, Chordata, Mammalia, Rodentia, Muridae.
CUUGUGCCUAGAGGUAUUGCAGGUGUGGCUGCUGUGUCACAUGUGUGUCAGUAGGUGGCAGAGAGAAGAGAGGCUCUGUCUAUUCUCAGUGUUCUCACCCAUGAACAUCCGAAUGAUUAGUAGUUUAACAGU